GAGAGAAUUAAAAUAACAUGGUUGUGUUUGGUUCCCGGAAUUUGGAUUCCGGGAAAGCAGAGGGCACUAUUGGCAGAGAUAAGAAAGGAGAACAGAGCGCGCAAUCAAAAGACUAAAAAAGGGAGAAAAAGAGUAAAAUAGAAAAAAAAUCUCAGCGAAGAUAAUUACUUGACACAUUUGUCUGAACUAAAAUGGAUUCCAUUUUAAAUUUAAGGAAACCGUAUUCUAUCAUAUCAGCCUACAUCAGAAUUUGUUU
Molecule: long non-coding RNA, 256 nt
Filed under: Aquilegia coerulea
Lineage: Eukaryota; Viridiplantae; Streptophyta; Magnoliopsida; Ranunculales; Ranunculaceae
Description: long non-coding RNA (ACOE_LNC000972)
Source: RNAcentral